Molecule: long non-coding RNA, 2522 nt
Organism: Mus musculus (house mouse)
Lineage: Eukaryota; Metazoa; Chordata; Mammalia; Rodentia; Muridae
Product: predicted gene, 54083
Exons: 2
Source: RefSeq, a predicted model, not a curated record
GUAGAAAUAGAUCUAAAAUGAGCAAAAGAAUCCAUGCCCUUAUUAAGAAUCUUUCACAAUGUAUGCUGUGAUGACAGGGGUGUGUGUAUAUGUAUAACAUAAAUGCAUAUAUAACAUAUGUAUAUACAUCGACAUACCUAUAUUUGUUGACCAAGUCUAAGGGCAAUGGAUCACAUAAAGUGGAAGACUUAAUUUAAAUGUUCAGAGUUCUGACAAAUUUCCAUUACAGAAGAAACCUUCCAAGGUCAUCUUUGUUACUGGGAGAUCAUCAUGAUAAGCAAAAUAAGGGAGAUACUGUCUAAGUUUUGUCUCAUAUGGAAAACAUGGAACUAGAAUGAGAGUAUUUGGGAGAAGAGAAGAAGGCUGCAUAGACGGGCUGGAGAUGGUGAAGAGGAUGGGUGAGUAUAUGGUCAUAGUAAAUGACUUUAAUGGAAAUGUCAUUAUGAGAUAAUAAUAUGUACAGUGAACAUAAACUAAAAAAGAAAAGUUCAAAGCAAAAAAUAAAAAAGUUUAAAUAAAUAAAAAUAAAACUGCAAAUUGAAAAGAAUCUGAUUCAACUCAUAGAAGCAGUUGCAAGGACGAAGAUCACUUUUUUUUUCAGGAGGGGAGGGGGAUUUGUUUUGAUUUGUUGUUGUUUUCUUUUCUUUUUAGCAUGAGAUGUGAGUUCAUUUUGUUCUUUUUUCUUUUAUCAUGGGCCUUAAAAGGUAUUCUGUCCAGAUUAUUAAAGGCUACUUUAAAAAUGAUUUAAUAGGAACAACCUUGGGCAACAAGCUAAAUAGCUUUAGUUUGAAGAAUUAGUGUUAUGAGAAUUUUGGUUUCUUUAAAAACCCAGUUAUUUUAUGUGAGUAUUUUUGUUUGUUUGUUUGAAUCCCAGGUAUGGGAUAAGAGGCUGCUUCACAGCAGGUGAUUAUGAUUUGCCUCGUGCAGUAGCAGAAGCGUGAUCUUUGCCAGCUGUAGACAGUUUAAUUCUGGGGACUCUGGAGAGGGUAUAAAUGAGAGAGCCCUGAAAGGGCCUGAGACAGUGGCUGCUCCCCCUGCUGCUGUCCCAAUUGCUGCUGGUGCAAUUUGUCCAUGAGCAAAGAAACCAGAAGAAGUUGGAGAUAUCCUGGCGACAAAGCCUCUGAAUUGACAAGAUACAGAUUAUUCUCCAGCAGCCUGGACUGUGCAGCAGUGUUUGCAGUGGUGCUCAGGCCAGCCGUGUAGCUACAAACUGAACGAACUGCUUGGUGCAUCCCCUGCUAGUGCCCUAUGCCCUAUGCCCCACUCCUAUCUCCAGAUAGAUUCUCCUGACCCACUUAUGAAGCAAAAGACCUCGGGCUAUAAUGGCUCAGGCCAGAGGAAUAGUGAAAUGUGGGAAUGUACCUUUUGUGUUUUGAGCUUGUUGUCGGCACGCUGGAAUUUGUACCAGAUAGAUUUCAAGAUGGAAGCAAAGGGAGUGACCCCAAUCCCUGCCCCAACCAGUACAGCCACUUCAUACUGGAAAACAUCCUCACUGACUGUGCCAAAGGGACCGUCCACCUCGAUCCUAGCAAAUGAGAAAAGACAACUUUCAUAACAGACUUGUUUUCUCUUUUCUGUUACUCUACAUCUUGUUUUGAGUCUCAAGGACCUACCUGGGCAUUGGUGAGUGCUGUUGUUCAAAUGUCCUUAUGAGAUUUCGUGUCCAGUCCCCUGCUGCUCGAAUAUGAACGGAGAAAAAUUCUUCCUCUGGAGCAGAAGUCAGAGUGAAGGGAUGCCACUCCAGGAAGGAAAUGGAGGGGCAAUUUACAAAUAUAUACUGUCCUACUUCCAUGCUAAAGCCUCGCUUCCUCAUCUGCAAUUCCAAAACAUUAGAUGGGUGCAUGACAACCUGUGAAUGAAACACAGAGAUCAUUAGAGGCAAACUCCAAACAUGAAAAGGACAGACAUUUAAAUAGAUGAAGAAAGCCCAAGUGCAUCUAACUUAUAGUACAUGGUCAAGUCCUCUCUAGAAGGCACUCCCUAAGCUACUACUUAGCUCCAGACAAGGUUCUGUGUUGUCAGGGUUCCUGAUACUUCAAGAGAAGCAAAAAAAAAAAAUCUUUAAGAUUAUUAUAUUUUAGUUAUCUUACAAAAUUAUGGAUUCCAUUGUGAAAUAUAUAUACAUAUCACUGUGAUAUAUAUAUAUGUAUUUACAUAUGUGUGCAUUAUAUAUGUAUUAUAUAUACACACGUGUAUGUAUAUAUGUGUAUAUACAUAUGAUAUAAUAUAAUAUAUGUACCUUGCUCAUGUUUGCUUCAGGCUUCCCCUCUCUGCAGGUACCCUUUUCCCUGAGUAGGCAGUUUUCUGCUUUCCCCUCACAAUCUCUUCAUUUCACUCAUAGUUCUCCUUUGCUUCCACACUCUAUGUACAUUUCUAUUUCAUUCAUAUUUAUCACAAACAUGAGAAAGUGCUUAUUUUGCUUAAAAUGAUAAUCUCCGGUUCUCAUCUAUUUUUCUGUAAAUGACUUCAUUCCAUUCUUCUUUAUGAUUGAAUAAAAUCUUAUUGCGUUUUUUUAACAGUUA